This 333-nucleotide ribosomal RNA is filed under the name uncultured bacterium. RNAcentral describes it as "bacterial SSU rRNA". It matches the Rfam family "Bacterial small subunit ribosomal RNA", at positions 568 to 899 of the family's 1533-position model. The record is from RNAcentral.
UGCGCAGGCGGCCGUGUGUGUGAGGCGUGAAAGCCCGGAGCUCAACUCCGGAAUGGCACCUCAAACUACACGGCUAGAGCAUUGGAGAGGGUAGCAGAAUUCACGGUGUAGCAGUGAAAUGCGUAGAUAUCGUGAGGAAUACCAGAGGCGAAGGCGGCUACCUGGACAAUUGCUGACGCUCAGGCACGAAAGCGUGGGGAGCAAAAGGGAUUAGAUACCCCUGUAGUCCACGCCCUAAACGGUGCGCACUAGGUCUUGGAGGAUUCGACCCCUUCAGGGCCCAAGCUAACGCGUUAAGUGCGCCGCCUGAGGACUACGGCCGCAAGGCUAAAA